UACGUAGGGCGCAAGCGUUAUCCGGAAUUAUUGGGCGUAAAGAGCUCGUAGGCGGUUUGUCGCGUCUGCCGUGAAAGUCCGGGGCUCAACUCCGGAUCUGCGGUGGGUACGGGCAGACUAGAGUGAUGUAGGGGAGACUGGAAUUCCUGGUGUAGCGGUGAAAUGCGCAGAUAUCAGGAGGAACACCGAUGGCGAAGGCAGGUCUCUGGGCAUUAACUGACGCUGAGGAGCGGAAAGCAUGGGGGAGCGAACAGG
RNAcentral lists this ribosomal RNA (255 nucleotides) under uncultured bacterium. Its description in RNAcentral is "partial 16S ribosomal RNA". It matches the Rfam family "Bacterial small subunit ribosomal RNA", at positions 524 to 776 of the family's 1533-position model. The record is from RNAcentral.